This 1141-nucleotide long non-coding RNA is filed under the name Apteryx rowi (Okarito brown kiwi). RNAcentral describes it as "lncRNA (ENSARWG00000013474.1)". The record is from RNAcentral. Lineage: Eukaryota; Metazoa; Chordata; Aves; Apterygiformes; Apterygidae.
GCGGUGGCGGGAACGGGAACGCCGGCGCUCUUUGGAUUUGGAGCGCGAUUCGGAAGCUUUUUUAGCCGGCCACGAAGGCGCCCGAGGUUCUUUGGGCGCUUUGCGUUCCCGCGAGCGUUUGCUUUUCUUCCGCGAUCCCGAACUGGAAGCCGACCGGGUUUGCGAAGGAGGCCGGAAACGUUCGCGCCGUUGCGUGAGGAUCUUGCGCCGCAAAUCGGCCCCUUUCCAGCGCGGGUCGGGCUGGCUGUCGCCGAAGUCCACCUGCAGCGCGGCCUCCUCGUCCGAAUCGGCGUGAAGCGAGAGGAAAUCGUCGCCCUCGGGCAACCGCAGCGCCCGCGGUUCGGCGGCCCGGCACCGGCUCCGGAAAAGCCGGAUGGGGCUGUAACGCUCGUCCUCGGGCUGCACGAUUUCGCCUUCCUCGAUCUCCGAGUCGCCUUCGGCGCCUCCCCAGUCGAGCGGCGCCCGGCGCCCGGCCCGGUGCCGCCCGCUCUUGGCGCCUUUCUCGCCCCGCGCCGGCGCUUUGGGGUUGCCCGCCGUCACCACCUCCAGCGACACUUUUCCUUCCAGCUUGGGAUUGGCCUCGGCUUCCGAGCGGCUCUUGGCUGCCAAAUCGACGACGAAAACGCGCCGCCGCGGUUCCGGCUCGGCUCCGUCCGACUGCUCCGAGGCGUUUUCCUCCUCCGGCAGCGUCGAGUCGGCUCCCGGCGGCUGCUCUUUGGGCUCGGAGGGUUCGGCGGGCGCUUUGUCGGGUCGCGGCGGCCGCGACGCCGGGCUGGAGCUGGGUUCCGCUUCCUCCGGGCCUUUUUCGGAGCCCGGGAAAUCCUGGCUGAGGCUGUUGUCGUCGUAGAUGCCGGCCAACGUCUCCGAGAUGCGGCUGAUGCUGUGCGACAUGUCGGGCCGGGCGGCGGCGGCGGCCGCCUCGUCGUCCUCGUCGUCGGGGCUGGGGCUGCUGCGGGACGAGCUGGGGUUGGAGCCGGUGGGGUCGAAGGGGUCGUACUUCUGGUCCUGCCGCCCUUCGGCCUCUUUGCGGGGCGAGGCGCCGUAGGCGAAGUCGCCGCCGGCGUUGUCCUCGUCCGUGGGGUGGAAAGGGUCAUAAAUAUCGAGGUCGGGCGAGCGGGGAAGGCAGGCGGCGGCGGCGGGC